This 45-nucleotide non-coding RNA is filed under the name Schistosoma mattheei. The record is from RNAcentral. Lineage: Eukaryota; Metazoa; Platyhelminthes; Trematoda; Strigeidida; Schistosomatidae.
AUCCGGCUGACGAAUCCCAAAUAGGACGAAACGCGCAUCCUGGAU